Non-coding RNA from Schistosoma haematobium, 45 nucleotides. Lineage: Eukaryota; Metazoa; Platyhelminthes; Trematoda; Strigeidida; Schistosomatidae. The record is from Rfam.
ACCUUGCUGACGAGUGCCAAGUAGGACGAAACUCGAGUCAAGGGU